AUUGAACGCUGGCGGCAGGCCUAACACAUGCAAGUCGAGCGGCAGCGGAAGGAAGCUUGCUUUCUUGCCGGCGAGCGGCGGACGGGUGAGUAAGGUAUGGGGAUCUGGCCGAAGGCGGGGGAUAACCACUGGAAACGGUGGCUAAUACCGCAUAAUCUCUAAGGAGCAAAGUGGGGGACCGUUCAGGCCUCACACCUUCGGAUGAACCCAUAUGAGAUUAGCUAGUAGGUGGGGUAAUGGCUCACCUAGGCGACGAUCUCUAGCUGGUCUGAGAGGAUGAUCCGCCAAACUGGGACUGAGACACGGCCCAGACUCCUACGGGAGGCAGCAGUGGGGAAUAUUGCACAAUGGGCGCAAGCCUGAUGCAGCCAUGCCGGGUGUAUGAAGAAGGCCUUCGGUUUGUAAAGUACUUUCAGUCGUGAGGAAGGUGUUAAGGUUAAUAACCUUAGCAAUUGACGUUAGCGACAGAAGAAGCACCGGCUAACUCCGUGCCAGCCGCCGCCGUAA
This 507-nucleotide ribosomal RNA is filed under the name uncultured bacterium. RNAcentral's name for it is "partial 16S ribosomal RNA". It matches the Rfam family "Bacterial small subunit ribosomal RNA", at positions 30 to 523 of the family's 1533-position model. The record is from RNAcentral.